Molecule: ribosomal RNA, 235 nt
Filed under: uncultured bacterium
Lineage: Bacteria
Description: partial 16S ribosomal RNA
Rfam family: Bacterial small subunit ribosomal RNA
Source: RNAcentral
CGCGAGUGGAUGCCAAUCCCUAAAACCCUCUCAGUUCGGACUGGAGUCUGCAACCCGACUCCACGAAGCUGGAUUCGCUAGUAAUCGCGCAUCAGCCACGGCGCGGUGAAUACGUUCCCGGGCCUUGUACACACCGCCCGUCAAGCCAUGGGAGCCGGGGGUACCUGAAGUGCGUAACCGCGAGGAUCGCCCUAGGGUAAAACUGGUGACUGGGGCUAAGUCGUAACAAGGUAUC